RNAcentral lists this unclassified non-coding RNA (363 nucleotides) under uncultured bacterium. RNAcentral's name for it is "contains 16S-23S intergenic spacer region". The record is from RNAcentral.
UCCCCGUUGGCCGGGGCAGUCUCGCCUGAAAUUACAACAGACGAUAAGGGUUGCGCUCGUUGCGGGACUUAACCCAACAUCUCACGACACGAGCUGACGACGGCCAUGCAACACCUGUCACUGGGUUCCCGAAGGCACUCCCGACUUUCGCCAGGAUUCCCAGGAUGUCAAGCCUUGGUAAGGUUCUUCGCGUAGCAUCGAAUUAAACCACAUCAUCCACCGCUUGUGCGGGUCCCCGUCAAUUCCUUUGAGUUUUAAGCUUGCGCUCGUACUCCCCAGGCGGGAUGCUUAACGCGUUAGCUUCGCAGCCCAAGGGGUCGAUACCUCGAACUACUAGCAUCCAUCGUUUACGGCGUGGACUAC